CGUUCUUUAAGGGAAAUAGGCAUUGAGAGUGGAAUACUUGUCAAUGCUAAUGGAUCAGCUCGUGUUAGACAAGUAUUUCAAUCGUAGUAAUCACUCAGGGUAAUACUGAGGUCAUUGUUGGGGUAAAAUGCGAGCUUUCAACUCCAAACCAAUCGACACCCACAUCGGGGAGAAUUGAAUUUAAUUUUGAAUGUUCAAAAAAUGUCUUUUCCGAAAACGAUAAUGAUUUUCCCAGCCAAAUGUCAGCGGAAGUCGUGGGCUUCAUUAACUCCGCGUUUUCGAAUUACCACCAUAAUCCUUCCCUCUGCAUAAUUCCGUCAAAAAUAUGCUGGUUACUCCACAUUGACAUUUUGUUAUUGGAAUCUGGCGGGAAUAUAUAUGACGUCACAUCCCUGGCUAUAAAAGUAGCCUUGGCGGACACAAUCCUCCCGUUGGUCUCAGUUUCCGCGGAGGGUGAGGUGGAGCCGGUGGGGAAGGGAUCCCGUCUGGACGUGAAGGAGUGUCCCACAGUGGUGACCACG
Molecule: long non-coding RNA, 521 nt
Organism: Octopus sinensis (East Asian common octopus)
Lineage: Eukaryota; Metazoa; Mollusca; Cephalopoda; Octopoda; Octopodidae
Exons: 3
Source: RefSeq, a predicted model, not a curated record